Molecule: ribosomal RNA, 503 nt
Filed under: uncultured bacterium
Lineage: Bacteria
Description: partial 16S ribosomal RNA
Rfam family: Bacterial small subunit ribosomal RNA
Source: RNAcentral
AACGAACGCUGGCGGCGUGUUUAAGACAUGCAAGUCGCACGGGAUAAGACAUGUAGUAAUACUUGUUUUAUUUAGUGGCGCACGGGUGAGUAACACGUGAAUUACAUGCCCUAUAGUGGGGAAUAGCCCAGGGAAACUUGGAUUAAUACCCCAUGGUAUCGAAAGAUUAAAGGUGGCCGCAAGGCUGUCGCUAUAGGAUUGGUUCGCGCCCUAUCAGCUUGUUGGUGAGGUAACGGCUCACCAAGGCAAUGACGAGUACCUGGUCUGAGAGGACGAUCAGGCACACUGGAACUGAGACACGGUCCAGACACCUACGGGUGGCAGCAGUCGAGAAUAAUUCACAAUGGGGGCAACCCUGAUGGUGCGACGCCGCGUGGAGGAUGACGGUCUUCGGAUUGUAAACUCCUGUCAUCUGGGAGAAAGACCUGACGGUAAAUAGCCGGCAGGGUUGAUAGUACCAGAAGAGGAAGGGACGGCUAACUUCGUGCCAGCAGCCGCCGUAA